GGCAACCCUGAUCCAGCCAUGCCGCGUGAGUGAUGAAGGCCUUAGGGUUGUAAAGCUCUUUCGCCGGUGAAGAUAAUGACGGUAGCCGGUAAAGAAGCCCCGGCUAACUCCGUUGCCAGCAGC
This 123-nucleotide ribosomal RNA is filed under the name uncultured bacterium. RNAcentral describes it as "partial 16S rRNA". It matches the Rfam family "Bacterial small subunit ribosomal RNA", at positions 376 to 515 of the family's 1533-position model. The record is from RNAcentral.